Molecule: long non-coding RNA, 330 nt
Filed under: Elaeis guineensis (African oil palm)
Lineage: Eukaryota; Viridiplantae; Streptophyta; Magnoliopsida; Arecales; Arecaceae
Description: long non-coding RNA (EGUI_LNC043547)
Source: RNAcentral
AGUGGCAAUAAAUCCACAUGAAGAACCUCAUUGUACUAAAAAAAGUCAAAUAGCAUCUACCAGUUAACGGAACAUCCAUCUCCAGGUUUAGACCUCCACAUUGUCUCCAGGAUGGUGAGAAAGAGAUGGUGGAGACCCUCUAGAAAUUAAACUGACAAUGAAAACGUUAAAAUCACAAAGAAUUAAACAUUGCUGCACCGCAGCCCACUACAAAACCUUGACGGCACACACUUCUCUUGUUUUUUUAAGAGGUAGCCGCACACACUUUUUUUAAAAGGUACAGCAACAUAUGAAUUUAUAUAUGUAGGGUUUUGACUCUUCACCGACUUA